RNAcentral lists this long non-coding RNA (1348 nucleotides) under Anas platyrhynchos platyrhynchos (common mallard). RNAcentral's name for it is "lncRNA (ENSAPLG00000016488.1)". Lineage: Eukaryota; Metazoa; Chordata; Aves; Anseriformes; Anatidae. The record is from RNAcentral.
UGACAUGGCUCCCAAAGGGCAUGUUCCCAUAGUGUAUGAGAUGCAGUUACAUAGCAGGGAAGAGUCCUAAGAGUGGACAAGGGCACCAGCAUAAAAGAGGUGGAUGCUUCAUCUCAGCCAGCACUGGUGUCACCUUGGUGAGAAUGCUACCUCUUAAUCUGUGCCUGAGGAGAAGACUUUCGUUUCCACUUCAGUUAGUCCUGUCUCCUUUGUAAGACUGACAUUCACACAAACAUUUUUAACUGCAAAAGGACAGCCCUGUUUCUGCUUCGCACAGGAGAUGUUUUCCUGUGACCCCUUUGCGUCCUUGUGUUCUAGCAUUUAAAGACAAACAGCUGUCCCAGGCUUCAGCUGGAGGAGGAAAAGGAAGACACCAUCAAGCACAAAUGUUAGUAAGUCACUUUUCCUCUCAUUGUCUGGUAUAUCUAGGAUCAUUUCUAGCCCUGGAAACAAUUGUCUCUCUGAUGCCCUUACAUUUGAUUUUAUUCACUGGUAUUGAACAUCAGCAUUUCAAAAUGCCUUCUUGAAGUGUGAGUCUUGUUUCUCUUGAUUUAAACUGGAAACGGAUCUGCUUCUUUGAUGGAUGCUUGGGGACACAAGGACUGCCAGUUUAUUGCUUGGAAGCUACAGACCGAGUGCUUUGGUAAUCUCAUCUUCUUAAAAGUUCAUUUUCUGUCCUCCUUUUUUUUGAUUUCAUGUUGGAAAAUGCUGUGUAAAGCCAUCCUUCAAAGGAAAUCAAUGCAGUGCUGGACAAAAUAUUUUUUAGCAAGUGCUGAAUUCACCAAAACAAUAUUGUUCCAGGGAACUGGAGGAACUGACAACAGCUCUUGACCAUAUUCAGUGAACAGUUAUGAAAACACGUAUUUGUAUUUGCUGGAAUUAUGGAGAAACCAAGUACAGUUUUGACUUUUCAAUACAAUUCUGGCCUCUGUUUUCAAAGCAAAAAUGUUAUUAAAGAACGUAAAACAAAACACCAAUAUCAGAGGACACAAAUCUAAAGCAGAGAAACGUUGUGCACCUAAGGAAGUAUUUUGAAACAGUUUUUUUCUUACUGGUUUGAACAUCAAACCAAAAAAGUGCAUCAAAAGUACAUCUUUGUCACAAUGCCACAGCAUCUCCACAGUUUUGGGACCUCAGAAUCCCCAGGCUAUCUUUAAUACAGCACUGGCGCCACUCUCAAUGCAAAUUAUCAGACCAUGAGUUGUUCCAUAGUUUUUGUCUGGUUCAAGUUCCUUUGCAGAGGCUGUAGGUUGAUACAGAUGACCUGAUUAUUGUCUGUAGAAAUGGAGACGGGUCACAGACAGUUGCAGAAAAUAAAGGAAGGGAAGGUAUAAAUACUCGGGGUCCU